Molecule: non-coding RNA, 1301 nt
Organism: Paramisgurnus dabryanus
Lineage: Eukaryota; Metazoa; Chordata; Actinopteri; Cypriniformes; Cobitidae
Source: RefSeq, a predicted model, not a curated record
UACUAUUAGGAACCUUUAGCCUUUACCAAUAAAACAAGUAUAACAUUCAUUUUUUUUGUGGUGUGUUUUGGGCAUUAUUUCUGUAUGAUUUAAUUGGGGUUAUUGGUUCCCAUCUGCCAGAAAACAUCUCACCCAACGAUUCCAUUACAUACCAGUAUACCCACAGAGACCCUAAAAGUUUCCAUUACAACCAAUACAAUUUCCAUUAUAACCAUUAUAUCUAUAAUUAUAAUUUAAUGAUUUCAAUCUGUUUAUAAAAUCUGAAGAAUUUAUGUGAUGUUUUAUUGUUUUUCUAGCAGAGUAUUAAUAAAUAAUUGACCUUAAUGUAGCUUAUUUUUUUGUCAGAUAUCAGUUACUAAUAUGAUUUUUUAAAUCUUUUCUUUAUUCUUUUAUAGGCUUCAAGUUCCUAUAGGACAUUUGUUCUCAGGCUACAGAACUGGUCAUUUUAUCAGACAUUACAUCUAUUUAUUUUGUGUUCUCUUUUGAAUGCCAGAAACAUUGCAGACUUCAUUGACCCAGGCUCCUGGACAGAGAAAACAGGAAAAGACCUUGAGUGUUUUCCUCAACAGUGCAGUGGGAAUUAUUGUGGUGUCUACAUGCUGAUGUAUGCUCUCAGCAUCUGCACGUCAUGUCCUUUAACAUUUACAGAGGUAAGGGGGAUUUUCACAUAAUUAUGCUUUUAAACUAUGCUAUGUGCGCAUUUUUAUUUUUGUGCGUUUUAGGAGGAGGUGCCAUUGAUUCGCCAGUGGUGGUGUAUUCAGCUAAUGGAAAAGUUUUGCCUAGAAGGGCAUGGACAGAGGUUUGCAUACUGGACUAAAGAAUCAUCCCAACUUCUUCUGGGAACACUUGAGCCUGUCUUUAGAGUUUCGAAAUCCACCACCACCAAACUGUUGCCCAGCAGAAGAGUUGUGGUUGAACAGGACAUUAAUAAGGUAAAGACUUUAGUGGUCAUAUCCAACAGUUAAAUGCGUGCCACUAUUGUGCCAUUAUAAUUUUGUAUAUUUGAUUUACAACUUUUGUCUUCACCAGGUGCAGCAGCCAACCAUUCUGAUACUGGAUACACAGUCACAGAGACUUAUUCUGUGGGGAGGUGACAGAGCCUGCUUUUCUGCAAAUGACCAUUGAUGACCAACAAAAUGCCAUCAAAAGGGUCAUGUGUGAUGAAUUCCCUGAGGCAAAGGAUGACUUUAUGUUUAUUUUUCAAUGUCAAGAGGACAUGGAGAAAUUUUUGUCCUACUGCAUUGAUGGAAAAAGGCUUGAAGGUCAAUGCAAUGUUCCUGGAGUGAGGGAGGGAGUGAUUG